This 801-nucleotide ribosomal RNA is filed under the name uncultured bacterium. RNAcentral describes it as "bacterial SSU rRNA". It matches the Rfam family "Bacterial small subunit ribosomal RNA", at positions 8 to 806 of the family's 1533-position model. The record is from RNAcentral.
AGAGUUUGAUCAUGGCUCAGAUUGAACGCUGGCGGCAUGCCUUACACAUGCAAGUCGAACGGUAACGCGGGGCAACCUGGCGACGAGUGGCGAACGGGUGAGUAAUGCAUCGGAACGUGCCCAGGAGUGGGGGAUAGCCCGGCGAAAGCCGGAUUAAUACCGCAUACGACCUGAGGGUGAAAGCGGGGGACCGUAAGGCCUCGCGCCCCUGGAGCGGCCGAUGUCAGAUUAGGUAGUUGGUGGGGUAAAGGCCUACCAAGCCGACGAUCUGUAGCUGGUCUGAGAGGACGACCAGCCACACUGGGACUGAGACACGGCCCAGACUCCUACGGGAGGCAGCAGUGGGGAAUUUUGGACAAUGGGGGAAACCCUGAUCCAGCCAUGCCGCGUGCGGGAAGAAGGCCUUCGGGUUGUAAACCGCUUUUGUCGGGGAAGAAAUCUUCUGAGCUAAUACCUCGGGAGGAUGACGGUACCCGAAGAAUAAGCACCGGCUAACUACGUGCCAGCAGCCGCGGUAAUACGUAGGGUGCAAGCGUUAAUCGGAAUUACUGGGCGUAAAGCGUGCGCAGGCGGUCGUGCAAGACAGGUGUGAAAUCCCCGGGCUUAACCUGGGAACUGCACUUGUGACUGCACGGCUGGAGUACGGCAGAGGGGGAUGGAAUUCCGCGUGUAGCANUGAAAUGCGUAGAUNUGCGGAGGAACACCGAUGGCGAAGGCAGUCCUCUGGGCCUGUACUGACGCUCAUGCACGAAAGCGUGGGGAGCAAACAGGANUAGAUACCCUGGNAGUCCACGCCCNAAC